CCUACGGGAGGCAGCAGUAGGGAAUCUUCCACAAUGGGCGAAAGCCUGAUGGAGCAACGCCGCGUGGGUGAAGAAGGUCUUCGGAUCGUAAAACCCUGUUGUUAGAGAAGAAAGUGCGUGAGAGUAACUGUUCACGUUUCGACGGUAUCUAACCAGAAAGCCACGGCUAACUACGUGCCAGCAGCCGCGGUAAUACGUAGGUGGCAAGCGUUAUCCGGAUUUAUUGGGCGUAAAGGGAACGCAGGCGGUCUUUUAAGUCUGAUGUGAAAGCCUUCGGCUUAACCGGAGUAGUGCAUUGGAAACUGGGGGACUUGAGGGCAGAAGAGGAGAGUGGAACUCCAUGUGUAGCGGUGAAAUGCGUAGAUAUAUGGAAGAACACCAGUGGCGAAAGCGGCUUUCUGGUCUGUAACUGACGCUGAGGUUCGAAAGCGUGGGUAGCAAACAGGAUUAGAUACCCUGGUAGUC
Molecule: ribosomal RNA, 465 nt
Filed under: uncultured bacterium
Lineage: Bacteria
Description: partial 16S ribosomal RNA
Rfam family: Bacterial small subunit ribosomal RNA
Source: RNAcentral